GCUGGCGUAGCUCAGUUGGUAGAGCAGCGGUUUCGUAAACCGCAGGUCGUCCGUUCAAAUCGGACCGCCAGCUCCA
RNAcentral lists this transfer RNA (76 nucleotides) under Candidatus Omnitrophota bacterium. Its description in RNAcentral is "tRNA-Thr". It matches the Rfam family "tRNA". From Rfam's summary of the family: Transfer RNA (tRNA) molecules are approximately 80 nucleotides in length. Their secondary structure includes four short double-helical elements and three loops (D, anti-codon, and T loops). Lineage: Bacteria; Pseudomonadati; Candidatus Omnitrophota. The record is from RNAcentral.